This 658-nucleotide long non-coding RNA is filed under the name Malus domestica (apple). Its description in RNAcentral is "long non-coding RNA (MDOM_LNC000431)". The record is from RNAcentral. Lineage: Eukaryota; Viridiplantae; Streptophyta; Magnoliopsida; Rosales; Rosaceae.
AAAAGCAUGGCUACUCACUAAUGCACAGCAGCCCAAGCUCUUUGUUGAUUAAGGGAGUCAACUUGGCACGAUGACAGCGCAGAAGAUUGCCACCAACUUUCAUCAUGCAUAUUCCCACUUCUCUGAAAAAGCUACAGGAAAAGGAGCAAUUAAUGCACAGCAGCCCAAGCUCUUUGUUGAUUAAGGGAGCCAACUUGGCACGAUGACAGCGCAGAAGAUGCCCACCAACUUUCAUCAUGCAUGUUCCUACUUUUCUGAAAAAACUACAGGAAAAGGAACAAGUGGGUGUAUAUAAAGAGACUAAUUUGCUGCAUGAUUUAAAGGUGGACGGUAUGGAAAAGCUAUGGAUGUGUUUGCGGUAAAGCAGGCAUGCAAAUCUUCAAAGAUAAGACAUUGAGCAUCAUUCCCACCAUGCCCAUGUCUCUCCUCUGCCACACUCAAUCAUCCAUUCGCAUUUAAGGAAAACAACCAUAAAGAUAAGACUCUUAUCUUUAUAGCCCAUACCCACUAUCAUUGAUGAAUAUUUUAUUAAGUUGUCUUCUGCAAACUGGAGCAAUUAUUGUAUAGUUAUACUAAUGUGUAAAGAAGGCAGCAUGCCAAAAAAAAAAAAAACGGCAAGCCCAAAAUAAUGGGCUGGAAUGUUAUGUGAAGGGCGAAG